CGAAGGUGGCAAGCGUUACUCGGAAUUACUAGGCGUAAAGGGCAGGUAGGUGGUCUGGUUAGUCUGUUGUGAAAGCUCCUUGCUUAACGAGGAGAGGUCAACAGAUACUGCCAGGCUUGAGUAUGGGAGAGGUUACUGGAAUUCCUGGUGUAGCGGUGAAAUGCGCAGAGAUCAGGAGGAACACCGAUGGCGAAAGCAGGUAACUGGACCAUUACUGACACUCAGCUGCGAAAGCUAGGGGAGCAAACAGGAUUAGAUACCCUGGUAGUCCUAGCCGUAAACGAUGCACAUUAGGCGUGAGGGGUAUCGACCCCCUUCGUGCCGAAGCAAACGCAUUAAAUGUGCCGCCUGGGGAGUACGGCCGCAAGGUUG
RNAcentral lists this ribosomal RNA (372 nucleotides) under uncultured organism. RNAcentral's name for it is "bacterial SSU rRNA". It matches the Rfam family "Bacterial small subunit ribosomal RNA", at positions 526 to 896 of the family's 1533-position model. The record is from RNAcentral.